Molecule: ribosomal RNA, 460 nt
Filed under: uncultured bacterium
Lineage: Bacteria
Description: partial 16S ribosomal RNA
Rfam family: Bacterial small subunit ribosomal RNA
Source: RNAcentral
CCUACGGGCGGCAGCAGUGAGGAAUAUUGGUCAAUGGCCGGAAGGCUGAACCAGCCAAGUCGCGUGAGGGAAUAAGGCCCUAUGGGUCGUAAACCUCUUUUGUCAGGGAGCAAAGGCGUCCACGUGUGGACGAGAGGAGAGUACCUGAAGAAAAAGCAUCGGCUAACUGCGUGCCAGCAGCCGCGGUAAUACGGAGGAUGCGAGCGUUAUCCGGAUUUAUUGGGUUUAAAGGGUGCGUAGGCGGACGCUUAAGUCAGCGGUAACAUUGCGGGGCUCAACCUCGUCGAGCCGUUGAAACUGGGUGCAGUGAGUGGGCGAGAAGUACGCGGAAUGCGUGGUGUAGCGGUGAAAUGCAUAGAUAUCACGCAGAACUCCGAUUGCGAAGGCAGCGUACCGGCGCCCAACUGACGCUGAAGCACGAAGGCGUGGGUAUCGAACAGGAUUAGAUACCCGAGUAGUC